UGGUCGAUAACCCCCUCUGCCUCUAAUCUUAAUCAGUUGCAUCCUCAACUGGUGGAAGUAUCCAUGCACUCAAAGUUUGUAAAGUAAAACACUCAACUUUGUACCAGUAGGCAUCACUCAAUGCAAUUGGUGCGUUUGUUUGCAGGAAAACAUUUUCCGGAAAAUAUUUUCCUAAUUUUACAGUGUUUGGAAGCCUGAAAACAUUUUACACUUGUAAAAUGUUUUCCAAGACACGGGUAAAAUGGCCUCAGUUUAGGGAAAAUGUCUUACUAAUUUCAUUUCCGUAAGACAUUUUUCGGAAAAUCCCUCCCUCCUUCCGUCCUUCUCCUUCUUCAAUCUGUCUUCCCCUCACGAAUUUGCAGGAUCUAAACGUCCCAAAGUUGGCCCAUCGUCGAUAUUGGAGCUGCUGUUCAGUACUUGGGUUACACACCUGGCCUCUUUAUUGUAGGACUGUUCAACAUUUUGGUAUUUUGGAUAAUAGGAACACUAUAGUUGGAGGCACACAAGAAGUAUGGCAACAGGGAGUUUUGCCAAAACAUCUGCUAACAUAGACUUGGAUGAUGGUAAUCAAGAUUCAGUGCUUGUAGACUGCGACAAUGAAGAGGUUGAAGAGGUAAUAACAAAUGUAUCUUCAUCUGGCACAUCCAAACGUAAAAGAAAAAAUGUUCAAGAAAGCGUCGCUGAUGAACAAAUUAAAUUUUUGGGUGAACAACUUGGCAAAAUUGCUAAUGCUUUGGAACAAUUUACUGCGGAUAAGACACCACAGCUUUACGAACAAGUGAUGUCGAUGGAGGAAGAAGGAUUUGGUGAUGACUUCUUGUGUUCUGUGUUUGAUUAUCUAGUGAGUCAUGAAUCCGAGGCUAAAGUUUUUUUAGUUAAAAGUAAGAAGCAUAAAAAAAUUUGGCUUCAAAAAUUUUCUCAAGGUUGAAGAUAUUGAUACUUUUAUGUGGUGUAAUAUUAGUUAUGCACUUGAACAAUGUUGUUAUUAUGUGGUGUACUACUAAUUAUGCAUUUGGAUAAUAUUAUUAAUUUCUAAUAUUAA
Long non-coding RNA from Gossypium raimondii (Peruvian cotton), 1042 nucleotides. RefSeq lists it as uncharacterized. The transcript is spliced from 3 exons. Lineage: Eukaryota; Viridiplantae; Streptophyta; Magnoliopsida; Malvales; Malvaceae. The record is from RefSeq and is a predicted model, not a curated record.